AAUGAACGCUGGCGGCAGGCCUAACACAUGCAAGUCGAACGAGGUAGCAAUACCUAGUGGCGGACGGGUGAGUAACGCGUGGGAACGUGCCCCUUGGUACGGAAUAGCCCUGGGAAACUGGGAGUAAUACCGCAUGUGGUCGAGAGACGAAAGCAUUCUCGCCAGGGGAUCGGCCCGCGUUGGAUUAGAUAGUUGGUGGGGUAAUGGCCUACCAAACCGACGCUCCAUAGCAGGUUUGGUAGGAUGAUCAGGCACACUGGUACUGAGAAACGGCCCAGUCUCCGACGGGAGGCAGCUGUGGGGAAUCUUAGACAAGGGGGGAAACCCUGAUCUAGCCAUGCCGCGUGAUCGAUGAAGGCCUUAGGGUUGUAAAGAUCUUUCAGUGGGGAAGAUAAUGACGGUACCCACAGAAGAAGCCCCGGCUAACUCCGUGCCAGCCGCCGCCGUAA
Molecule: ribosomal RNA, 449 nt
Filed under: uncultured bacterium
Lineage: Bacteria
Description: partial 16S ribosomal RNA
Rfam family: Bacterial small subunit ribosomal RNA
Source: RNAcentral